This 764-nucleotide ribosomal RNA is filed under the name uncultured Streptococcus sp. RNAcentral describes it as "bacterial SSU rRNA". It matches the Rfam family "Bacterial small subunit ribosomal RNA", at positions 28 to 776 of the family's 1533-position model. Lineage: Bacteria; Bacillati; Bacillota; Bacilli; Lactobacillales; Streptococcaceae. The record is from RNAcentral.
GACGAACGCUGGCGGCGUGCCUAAUACAUGCAAGUAGAACGCUGAAGGAGGAGCUUGCUCUUCUAGAUGAGUUGCGAACGGGUGAGUAACGCGUAGGUAACCUGCCUGGUAGCGGGGGAUAACUAUUGGAAACGAUAGCUAAUACCGCAUAACAGUAGAUGUUGCAUGACAUUUGCUUAAAAGGUGCGAUUGCAUCACUACCAGAUGGACCUGCGUUGUAUUAGCUAGUUGGUGGGGUAACGGCUCACCAAGGCAACGAUACAUAGCCGACCUGAGAGGGUGAUCGGCCACACUGGGACUGAGACACGGCCCAGACUCCUACGGGAGGCAGCAGUAGGGAAUCUUCGGCAAUGGACGGAAGUCUGACCGAGCAACGCCGCGUGAGUGAAGAAGGUCUUCGGAUCGUAAAGCUCUGUUGUAAGAGAAGAACGAGUGUGAGAGUGGAAAGUUCACACUGUGACGGUAUCUUACCAGAAAGGGACGGCUAACUACGUGCCAGCAGCCGCGGUAAUACGUAGGUCCCGAGCGUUGUCCGGAUUUAUUGGGCGUAAAGCGAGCGCAGGCGGUUAGAUAAGUCUGGAGUUAAAGGCUGUGGCUUAACCAUAGUACGCUUUGGAAACUGUUUAACUUGAGUGCAAGAGGGGAGAGUGGAAUUCCAUGUGUAGCGGUGAAAUGCGUAGAUAUAUGGAGGAACACCGGUGGCGAAAGCGGCUCUCUGGCUUGUAACUGACGCUGAGGCUCGAAAGCGUGGGGGAGCAAACAGG